UACGUAGGAUGCAAGCGUUGUCCGGAUUUACUGGGCGUAAAGCGCGCGCAGGCGGCAGUGUAAGUAAGGUGUGAAAUCUCCCUGCUCAACGGGGAGGGUGCACUUUAGACUACACAGCUAGAGGUCGGUAGAGGGGGGUGGAAUUGCUGGUGUAGCGGUGAAAUGCGUAGAGAUCAGCAGGAACACCCGUGGCGAAGGCGGCCCCCUGGGCCGUACCUGACGCUGAGGCGCGAAGGCUAGGGGAGCGAACGGGAUUAGAUACCCCGGUAGUCCUAGCAGUAAACGAUGGCCACUAGGUGUGGGGGGUGUUGACCCCUUCCGUGCCGUAGCUAACGCAUUAAGUGGCCCGCCUGGGGAGUACGGUCGCAAGACUAAA
This 376-nucleotide ribosomal RNA is filed under the name uncultured bacterium. Its description in RNAcentral is "bacterial SSU rRNA". It matches the Rfam family "Bacterial small subunit ribosomal RNA", at positions 524 to 898 of the family's 1533-position model. The record is from RNAcentral.